Molecule: ribosomal RNA, 253 nt
Filed under: uncultured bacterium
Lineage: Bacteria
Description: partial 16S ribosomal RNA
Rfam family: Bacterial small subunit ribosomal RNA
Source: RNAcentral
UACGGAGGGUGCAAGCGUUAUCCGGAUUCACUGGGGUUAAAGGGUGCGUAGGUGGGCAGGUAAGUCAGUGGUGAAAUCUUCGAGCUUAACUCGGAAACUGCCGUUGAUACUAUCUGUCUUGAAUACCGUGGAGAUGAGCGGAAUAUGUCAUGUAGCGGUGAAAUGCUUAGAUAUGACAUAGAACACCAAUUGCGAAGGCAGCUCGUUACACGAAUAUUGACUCUGAGGCACGAAAGCGUGGGGAUCAAACAGG